AGAACGAACGCUGGCGGCAUGCCUAAUACAUACAAGUCGAACGAACUCUUCGGAGUUAGUGGCGCACGGGUGCGUAACGCGUGGGAAUCUGCCCCUUGGUUCGGAAUAACAGUUGGAAACGACUGCUAAUACCGGAUGAUGACGAAAGUCCAAAGAUUUAUCGCCAAGGGAUGAGCCCGCGUAGGAUUAGCUAGUUGGUGAGGUAAAGGCUCACCAAGGCAACGAUCCUUAGCUGGUCUGAGAGGAUGAUCAGCCACACUGGGACUGAGACACGGCCCAGACUCCUACGGGAGGCAGCAGUAGGGAAUAUGGACAAUGGGCGAAAGCCUGAUCCAGCAAUGCCGCGUGAGUGAUGAAGGCCUUAAGGUUGUAAAGCUCUUUACCCGAGAUGAUAAUGACAGUAUCGGAGAAUAAGCCCCGGCUAACUCCCGCGCCAGCAGCCGC
This 444-nucleotide ribosomal RNA is filed under the name uncultured soil bacterium. Its description in RNAcentral is "bacterial SSU rRNA". It matches the Rfam family "Bacterial small subunit ribosomal RNA", at positions 26 to 518 of the family's 1533-position model. The record is from RNAcentral.